CUCUGGAUAACUUGCUAAAUUUUGGUUGGACGUUUUUGGACCCAAAACAACAUUUCCAGAGAAUUUAAUUCUGAGUCCAGAGAAAUUUAUUUCAUUAAAAAAUGUUGAGUAGUUUUUGAGAAAUUUGAGUUUAAGGUACAAAACGUCAGUUUAAUAGACUUCAGGGUUCACUAAUUGGUUUAACUCUGGAUAACUUGGUAAAUUUUGAUUGGACGUUUUUGGACCCAAAACAACAUUUCCAGAGAAUUUAAUUCUGAAUCCAGAGAAAUUUAUUUCAUUAAAAAAUGUUGAGUAGUUUUUGAGAAACUUGAGUUUAAGAUACAAAACGUCAGUUUAAUAGACUUCAGGGUUCACUAAUUGGUUUAACUCUGGAUAACUUGGUAAAUUUUGGUUGGACGUUUUUGAACCCAAAACAACAUUUCCAGAGAAUUUAAUUCUGAAUCCA
This is a long non-coding RNA of Anthonomus grandis grandis, 445 nucleotides long. RefSeq lists it as uncharacterized. Lineage: Eukaryota; Metazoa; Arthropoda; Insecta; Coleoptera; Curculionidae. The record is from RefSeq and is a predicted model, not a curated record. The transcript is spliced from 3 exons.